RNAcentral lists this ribosomal RNA (497 nucleotides) under uncultured bacterium. Its description in RNAcentral is "partial 16S ribosomal RNA". It matches the Rfam family "Bacterial small subunit ribosomal RNA", at positions 28 to 507 of the family's 1533-position model. The record is from RNAcentral.
GACGAACGCUGGCGGCGUGCCUAAUACAUGCAAGUUGAGCGCUGAAGGUUGGUACUUGUACCAACUGGAUGAGCAGCGAACGGGUGAGUAACGCGUGGGGAAUCUGCCUUUGAGCGGGGGACAACAUUUGGAAACGAAUGCUAAUACCGCAUAAAAACUUUAAACACAAGUUUUAAGUUUGAAAGAUGCAAUUGCAUCACUCAAAGAUGAUCCCGCGUUGUAUUAGCUAGUUGGUGAGGUAAAGGCUCACCAAGGCGAUGAUACAUAGCCGACCUGAGAGGGAGAUCGGCCACGAUGGGAAUGAGACACGGCCCAAACACCUACAGGAGACAGCGGUAGGGAAUGUUCGGCGAUAGACAAAAGUCUGACCGAGCAACGCCGGGUGAGUGAAGAAGGUUAUCGGAUCGUAAAACUCUGUUGGUAGAGAAGAACGUGGGUGGGAGUGAAAAGCUCAUCAAGUGACGGUAACUACCCAGAAAGGGACGGCUAACUACGUG